UCGUCUUAUCCUCAAACCAAUCGACAUCUCAUCAUAUAUUCCCUUCCAUCAAAAGCUUGAACUCUCGGGUUCUCCUCCACCGGCCGGUCGCGCCACGCAAGCCGGCGGCAGCCACUUCGCGCAUCUACACGGGUGGCGCCUCCCUCGGUCCCUCACCCGGUUGUCCGCGUCUGCCAAGCUGGCCGGACAACUGCCGAGAACCCACAUCGGAAGCGGCGGCGCUCCUCCUGUAGACGCCACUGCGGCCGCCUUGCCACAACUCCAACCACCGCAUGCCUCCAAACACCGUGCAGAGGCAUCGUUCUGAUAAACACACUACAGCUAAGUUGUGGAUUAUCCCCUUUGACGUUGCUUUUCAUUUGAUUCGUAUAAUCCCUGUAUUCCUCUUCCCAGAGCAUCCAGAUCCAUCCCCUUCCUUCAGUUUGUUGUCUGGGAUAGCCUCAUACACCUGCCUCUAUUGAUUUUGCAGCCGGUGGCAUGCUGCUGGGCUAGCAAUCCGGAAUUUUUUACUUCGUCUACCCAACAAGGUAUACAGUCAAGUCUACACAAAACUGUAUGGUCGACAACCUUCUUUACUCUUGCAUCAGGAUCCCGCAUACAAAUCAUUCGCAAAGAUUUCUCUACUCUUGAUCGUGGCUAAUCUUUACCGUCGCAAAACUUCGCUCACUUUCAGGGAUCUUUCGAUCAGAGCAAGAACCCGGCUGCGACCAACCUCAUUUCAUAUUUUUGCCUCGGUCAGCAGCUUGGCAUAUUUUGUUCGCUCCUUUUAAACCUGGGUAAUUCUGCACAUAUUUUUUAUCUCCAACUCCAACACAUGUUUUUGAUAUACCAAUGGGUCAUUACAGGUUGGUAUAGCUGUUUGUGAACUUAUAUCCUUUUCCUUUUUUCUUCAGAAUAUGUUUUUCCAAUGCUAGCAGAAUUCUAUAGACUUUAUAUCUUAAGAGGCCAUUACUAGGACAAUGCUACCUGCCAAUAAAAAUUCUUCACGAAUCAACAGGGUGUACAAAAAUGUGUGCAGUGUUACCAUACAAAAUGGUUGAGGUGCCAUAUGCUCUCUCAUGUUUACCCUUACUGUUUACUUUAGUUAUUCCAACAAAGAGUCUGGCAGAUCAUGAUGCUUAAAUUUCAACCACAAAACGUCAGGUGCUAAUUCUCUCUUCUCUUACAUCGUGUUACUUUUUUUGUUACACAUAAUUAUCUGAAGUGCUACCCUUUUUAUUGGUUUUCUAUCAUCUCCUCUUCCAACACUUGCACUCCAGGAUGCCUCUAAAGCCUCACAUCACUCUUCCAUCAGUUCUACCAAGAAAGACAUUCAGCAUAUACAUGCACGCAAUGAAUCAGCUCACGGAAUCUACAAAUGCAAAAGUGUGCGGAACUAUCAGAAGCAAAUUUCAGGGAGAAAACAUCAGCAACUAACUACCCAUGAAGAUCACAUUAUAACUGUUGGUUGCAUAAACAAGGAAGCAAUUUUCAUGGCAUAUAGCUCAUUUGUACAUAUAUUAUACAAAGUGGUUGCACUGAAUAUAACUUAUGUACAAUGUACUACUUAAAUUUUCCCUUUCAACUC
Long non-coding RNA from Triticum aestivum (bread wheat), 1567 nucleotides. RefSeq lists it as uncharacterized. Lineage: Eukaryota; Viridiplantae; Streptophyta; Magnoliopsida; Poales; Poaceae. The record is from RefSeq and is a predicted model, not a curated record. The transcript is spliced from 3 exons.